AAGCUCGUAGUUGGAUUUCUGUUAAUAAUUUAUAUAAAAUAUUUUGAUGAAUAUUUAUAUAAUAUUAACAUAAUUCAUAUUACUAUUUUUUUUUUUAGUAUAUGAAAUUUUACUUUGAGAAAAUUAGAGUGCUUAAAGCAGGCAUAUGCCUUGAAUACUCCAGCAUGGAAUAAUAUUAAAGAUUUUUAUCUUUUUUAUUGGUUCUAAGAUAAGAAUAAUGAUUAAUAGGGACAGUUGGGGGCAUUUGUAUUUAACAGUCAGAGGUGAAAUUCUUAGAUUUGUUAAAGACAAACUAAUGCGAAAGCAUUUGCCAAGGAUGUUUUCAUUAAUCAAGAACGAAAGUUAGGGGAUCGAAGACGAUCAGAUACCGUCGUAGUCUUAACCAUAAACUAUGCCAACUAGAGAUUGGAGGUUGUUCCUUACUCCUUCAGCACCUUA
RNAcentral lists this ribosomal RNA (438 nucleotides) under Cryptosporidium parvum. RNAcentral describes it as "partial 18S ribosomal RNA". It matches the Rfam family "Eukaryotic small subunit ribosomal RNA", at positions 624 to 1090 of the family's 1831-position model. The record is from RNAcentral. Lineage: Eukaryota; Apicomplexa; Conoidasida; Eucoccidiorida; Cryptosporidiidae.